This 429-nucleotide ribosomal RNA is filed under the name Actinomycetes bacterium. RNAcentral describes it as "Actinobacteria bacterium partial 16S ribosomal RNA". It matches the Rfam family "Bacterial small subunit ribosomal RNA", at positions 355 to 776 of the family's 1533-position model. Lineage: Bacteria; Bacillati; Actinomycetota; Actinomycetes. The record is from RNAcentral.
UAGGGAAUCUUCCGCAAUGGGCGAAAGCCUGACGGAGCAACGCCGCGUGAGUGAUGAAGGUCUUCGGAUCGUAAAACUCUGUUAUUAGGGAAGAACAAAUGUGUAAGUAACUAUGCACGUCUUGACGGUACCUAAUCAGAAAGCCACGGCUAACUACGUGCCAGCAGCCGCGGUAAUACGUAGGUGGCAAGCGUUAUCCGGAAUUAUUGGGCGUAAAGCGCGUGUAGGCGGUUUUUUAAGUCUGAUGUGAAAGCCCACGGCUCAACUGUGGAGGGUCAUUGGAAACUGGAAAACUUGAGUGCAGAAGAGGAAAGUGGAAUUCCAUGUGUAGCGGUGAAAUGCGCAGAGAUAUGGAGGAACACCAGUGGCGAAGGCGACUUUCUGGUCUGUAACUGACGCUGAUGUGCGAAAGCGUGGGGAUCAAACAGG